UACGAGAGGACCGGAGUGGACGAACCUCUGGUGUUCCGGUUGUCACGCCAGUGGCAUUGCCGGGUAGCUAUGUUCGGAAAAGAUAACCGCUGAAAGCAUCUAAGCGGGAAACUUGCCUCAAGAUGAGAUCUCACUGGGAACUUGAUUCCCCUGAAGGGCCGUCGAAGACUACGACGUUGAUAGGCUGGGUGUGUAAGCGUUGUGAGGCGUUGAGCUAACCAGUACUAAUUGCCCGUGAGGCUUGACCAUAUAACACCCAAACA
Molecule: ribosomal RNA, 263 nt
Filed under: Pseudomonas aeruginosa
Lineage: Bacteria; Pseudomonadati; Pseudomonadota; Gammaproteobacteria; Pseudomonadales; Pseudomonadaceae
Description: partial 23S ribosomal RNA
Rfam family: Bacterial large subunit ribosomal RNA
Source: RNAcentral